AAAGCUUUUUUUCUGGAACAGCUGAUUGUGAGUUUUUUUCUGCAGCUUGCAAAUCAAAAGUACAGAUAAAUGAAGGCAAACAUCCCAGUGGUGGCCUGUUUGAGACCUGCCUGCAUCAAGUCUUUGAGAGGUGUGUUGUUUACCACUGGCACAUUCACUGAGGCAAACUACAGCUGUGUUUUCCCUUUUACAAAGAAAAAAACAAACUUGAAGAUGGAAUAUUUGAAAUUCCCAUGAGGCAAAUGUGAAAGAGAAACUCUUAUUUUGCAAAUCUGCCUAUGUUGCAUGAGCCAAUCCACAUUUUUUGAUGAGUGGAGUUGCCAGCAAUGCAUGCCAGGAAAAAGGCCUCAGUAAAGGAGCUCCAUCAACAAAAAAGUCCCGGGAAGGCAUCCACCAGAGGGAGUUCCAUGAAUGCAUCAAACCCAGCCGGAGCUAUAAAUGAUUAUACAGCGGCUGAGAAGAGCCGCCUGUGCACUCCCCGGGACAGACAAGCUGCUCCCCGCAGCUGCUGGUCAGGAGCCUGGGCUGAAUUCAGCAAAGUACUGACCCAAAUCUGCAUAAUCUUAAGUGAAUACUCAGUGAACUCUAAGGAAUUGCUCUGUGCCUGGCAUUAAGCGAGUGUUUUAUUAGAGCGGGGUCAAAAUACUCAGUGCUUUGCAGGAUCAUAUGAGGAAAAGAAAAGACUCUGUUUACACCUCGG
Molecule: long non-coding RNA, 700 nt
Filed under: Parus major (Great Tit)
Lineage: Eukaryota; Metazoa; Chordata; Aves; Passeriformes; Paridae
Description: lncRNA (ENSPMJG00000000934.1)
Source: RNAcentral